This 1000-nucleotide long non-coding RNA is filed under the name Vitis vinifera (wine grape). Its description in RNAcentral is "long non-coding RNA (VVIN_LNC004941)". Lineage: Eukaryota; Viridiplantae; Streptophyta; Magnoliopsida; Vitales; Vitaceae. The record is from RNAcentral.
UUUUGGCCUUCCUUGAUAUCCUAGACUCUCCUCUAUAAAAUAAUGGUACUUUUUUUUUUUUGGGUUGUAUUGGAUGUUUGAUAAUGAUACUGUGGACUCCUAGUUUAUCCCACCAUCCAGCAGCCCGUCCAUCACUCAUGAAAGAAGAUUUUUGCUUAACAAUUCCUUGAGCCCCUGUUUUUGCCCUGUUUUUAGCUACUUCAUUCCUAUGCCCAUUUUCCAUCAACCUCCUCAUAUCCGUUUCCACACAUACCUAUCACUAUCUCUCUCUCUCUCUCUCUCUACACCAUGUUCUCCAUACCCAUAUUUCUAAGCUUUCUCAUUCCCACUAAGCACUUCUCUCACCACCUUUCUCUCUCUAAACCUUCACAUACCCAUCACCACAUACUCCUCAAGCAUUGUUUUCUCAAUGAUCUACACCACCCGCUCCAUAAAUCCCAUACCCAUUAACAUACCCACUAUCCAUGCAUAUACCCAUUUUCUUACCACUCAUCUCUUUAUCUACACCAUGUGCCUCCCAAGCCCAUCAUCCAUACUUCUUUUUUCAUCCCAUAUCCUUUCCCAUACAUAUCCUCAUUUAACUAUACCCCCCUAAACCCAUUCCUCUCUCUAAGCCUUCAUAUUUUUCUCACCACCUUUUCUCUCUCUACACCACAUGCUCUUCAUGCACACCCAUUCCUCACUCACCUACACUGCCCGUUCUACUUUCCAUACCCCCUCAUGCAUUCCCGUCGUUCAUAUAUCUGCUACACCCACUCCAUCCCGUUCUUGCAUGGCCAUGCAUAGCUACGUCAUACCCAUUUCACCACAAAACCCAUUUUCUUCCACCCAUGCAUGGCCACUUCAACCGUUGCAUUUAUUCCUCAUUACUACCCGUAGCUAUUCUCCACAUCCAUCCUCCAUGCCCUCAUGUUUAUCAUCACCCCCCCCCCCCCCCCAUGCAUAACCAUCUCCCAUUUACCCAUUUUCCCCAUCACCACCUAUCUCUCUCUACACCACA